Molecule: ribosomal RNA, 119 nt
Filed under: Petromyzon marinus (sea lamprey)
Lineage: Eukaryota; Metazoa; Chordata; Hyperoartia; Petromyzontiformes; Petromyzontidae
Source: RNAcentral
GCCUACGACCAUAUCACCCUGAAUGCGCCCGAUCUCGUCUGAUCUCGGAAGCUAAGCAUGGUCGAGCCUGGUUAGUACUUUUAUGGGAGACUGCCUGGGAAUACCAGGUGUUGUAGGCU